AUUGAACGCUGGCGGCAGGCUUAACACAUGCAAGUCGAGCGGGGUGAUGGUGCUUGCACUAUCACUUAGCGGCGGACGGGUGAGUAAUGCUUAGGAAUCUGCCUAUUAGUGGGGGACAACAUCUCGAAAGGGAUGCUAAUACCGCAUACGUCCUACGGGAGAAAGCAGGGGAUCACUUGUGACCUUGCGCUAAUAGAUGAGCCUAAGUCGGAGUAGCUAGUUGGUGGGGUAAAGGCCUACCAAGGCGACGAUCUGUAGCGGGUCUGAGAGGAUGAUCCGCCACACGAGGACUGGGACACGGCCCAGACUCCGACGGGAGGCAGCAGUGGGGAAUAUUGGACAAUGGGGGGAAGCCUGAUCCAGCCAUGCCGCGUGUGUGAAGAAGGCCUUAUGGUUGUAAAGCACUUUAAGCGAGGAGGAGGCUCUUUUGGUUAAUACCCAAGAUGAGUGGACGUUACUCGCAGAAUAAGCACCGGCUAACUCUGUGCCAGCAGCCGCGGUAA
Molecule: ribosomal RNA, 503 nt
Filed under: uncultured bacterium
Lineage: Bacteria
Description: partial 16S ribosomal RNA
Rfam family: Bacterial small subunit ribosomal RNA
Source: RNAcentral